Molecule: ribosomal RNA, 476 nt
Filed under: uncultured bacterium
Lineage: Bacteria
Description: bacterial SSU rRNA
Rfam family: Bacterial small subunit ribosomal RNA
Source: RNAcentral
UAGUCCACGCCGUAAACGAUGGAUACUAGCUGUCCGAGGCCUUGAGUCUUGGGCGGCCAAGCGAAAGUGAUAAGUAUCCCACCUGGGGAGUACGUUCGCAAGAAUGAAACUCAAAGGAAUUGACGGGGGCCCGCACAAGCGGUGGAGCAUGUGGUUUAAUUCGAUGAUACGCGAGGAACCUUACCAGGGCUUAAAUGUAGAUUGACAGGACUAGAGAUAGUUUUUCCUUCGGGCAAUUUACAAGGUGCUGCAUGGUUGUCGUCAGCUCGUGCCGUGAGGUGUCAGGUUAAGUCCUAUAACGAGCGCAACCCCUGCCGUUAGUUGCCAGCAUGUUAAGAUGGGGACUCUAGCGGGACUGCCGGUGCAAACCGUGAGGAAGGUGGGGACGACGUCAAAUCAUCACGGCCCUUACGUCCUGGGGCCACACACGUGCUACAAUGGCCGGUACAGAGGGAAGCCACCACGUAAGUGGGACG